CCAGGCUUGAACAGCCAGUGACCACACCCGAAAGGGUGCUUCCGCAAGGACACUGGUAGAGGUGCUGCAUGGCUGUCGUCAGCUCGUGUCGUGAGAUGUUGGGUUAAGUCCCGCAACGAGCGCAACCCUUGUCUGCUGUUGCCAUCACGUAUUGGUGGGCACUCUGCAGAGACUGCCGGUGAUAAACCGGAGGAAGGUGGGGAUGACGUCAAGUCAGCAUGGCCUUUAUGUCUGGGGCUACACACGUGCUACAAUGGCAGAUACAAACCGUCGCGAGACCGUAAGGUGGAGCUAAUCGGAGAAAGUCUGUCUCAGUUCGGAUCGUAGGCUGCAACUCGCCUGCGUGAAGUUGGAAUCGCUAGUAAUCGCGGAUCAGCACGCCGCGGUGAAUACGUUCCCGGGCCUUGUACACACCGCCCGUCACAUCACGAAAGCCGGUUGUACUAGAAGUCGCCAUACCAACCCGCAAGGGAGGGAGGCGCCUAAGGUAUGGUCGGUGAUUGGGGUG
This 508-nucleotide ribosomal RNA is filed under the name uncultured bacterium. RNAcentral describes it as "bacterial SSU rRNA". It matches the Rfam family "Bacterial small subunit ribosomal RNA", at positions 975 to 1482 of the family's 1533-position model. The record is from RNAcentral.